UUCCUCCUUUUUGCAGCAGUCGGGAAUAUUGCGCAAUGGAGGAAACUCUGACGCAGUGGCGCCGCGUAUAGGAAGAAGGUUUUCGGAUUGUAAACUAUUGUCGUGAGGGAAGAAAUUGACAGUACCUCAGGAGGAAGCUCCGGCUAACUAUGUGCCAGCAGCCGCGGUAAUACAUAGGGAGCAAGCGUUAUCCGGAUUUAUUGGGUGUAAAGGGUGCGUAGACGGGAAAUUAAGUUAGUUGUGAAAUCCCUCGGCUUAACUG
Molecule: ribosomal RNA, 262 nt
Filed under: uncultured bacterium
Lineage: Bacteria
Description: partial 16S ribosomal RNA
Rfam family: Bacterial small subunit ribosomal RNA
Source: RNAcentral